RNAcentral lists this ribosomal RNA (180 nucleotides) under BTEX-degrading bacterium enrichment culture. Its description in RNAcentral is "partial 16S ribosomal RNA". It matches the Rfam family "Bacterial small subunit ribosomal RNA", at positions 347 to 519 of the family's 1533-position model. The record is from RNAcentral.
GGCAGCAGUGGGGAAUAUUGGACAAUGGGCGAAAGCCUGAUCCAGCCAUGCCGCGUGUGUGAAGAAGGUCUUCGGAUUGUAAAGCACUUUAAGUUGGGAGGAAGGGCAGUAAGUUAAUACCUUGCUGUUUUGACGUUACCGACGGAAUAAGCACCGGCUAACUCUGUGCCAGCAGCCGCG